GUACACGCUGUGACUAGCAUAUCAAUAAGCGGAGGAAAAGAAACUAACAAGGAUUCCCUCAGUAACGGCGAGUGAAGCGGGAAGAGCUCAAAUUUGAAAUCUUGAAAGGUCUACCUUGCACGAAUUGUAGUUUGAAAGAAGUGUUUUCUGUGACGAUCUGGUAAUAUAAGUUCUUUGGAAUAGGACAUCACAGAGGGUGAGAAUCCCGUCUAUGAUUGCGAUUUGUAGCUUUGUGAUACACUUUCAAAGAGUCGGGUUGUUUGGGAAUGCAGCCCAAAACGGGAGGUAAAUUUCUUCUAAGGCUAAAUAUUGGCGAGAGACCGAUAGCGAACAAGUACCGUGAGGGAAAGAUGAAAAGAACUUUGAAAAGAGAGUUAAAUAGUACGUGAAAUUGUCAAAAGGGAAGCGUUUAACACCAGUGUUGUUUUCUGAAAAUCAACCUCUGUUAGCUUUAUGCAUGUUUGUUUAGACCUAAUCAGCUAUCUUGCAUGUUCUAUUGUUUGCAGUGGUGCACUUUUCAGUUUACAGGGUCAACAUCAGUUUUUUUUUACCGUAAAAAAGUUAAAGAAAGGUAGCUCAUGGCUCCGGUCGUGAGUGUUAUAGUCUUUUUCCUAUGCGGUAGGAGAGACUGAGGUCUGCAGUGUAGGCUAUUUGGCUAGAUACUCAGGUGCUAUGUGAUACCAUUUCAUAAACAACUUGUUGAUUAUGUUUUGUCUAUUGCAUACUCGCUUGUACUAUCAUACCUACGCUUAGGAUGUUGAGUAGCGACAUACGCAC
This 777-nucleotide ribosomal RNA is filed under the name uncultured Neocallimastigales. Its description in RNAcentral is "partial large subunit ribosomal RNA". It matches the Rfam family "Eukaryotic large subunit ribosomal RNA", at positions 22 to 646 of the family's 3401-position model. Lineage: Eukaryota; Fungi; Neocallimastigomycota; Neocallimastigomycetes; Neocallimastigales. The record is from RNAcentral.